RNAcentral lists this ribosomal RNA (1436 nucleotides) under uncultured Pelagibacterales bacterium. RNAcentral describes it as "bacterial SSU rRNA". It matches the Rfam family "Bacterial small subunit ribosomal RNA". Lineage: Bacteria; Pseudomonadati; Pseudomonadota; Alphaproteobacteria; Candidatus Pelagibacterales. The record is from RNAcentral.
AGAGUUUGAUCCUGGCUCAGAACGUACGCUGGCGGCACGCCUAACACAUGCAAGUCGAACGAAGUAGCAAUACUUAGUGGCAGACGGGUGAGUAACAUGUAGGUAUCUGCCCUUUGGCCUGGAAUAACACGAGGAAACUUGUGCUAAUACCGGAUAAGUCUUUACGGAGAAAGCUUUAUGCACCAUUGGAUGAGCCUGCACUUGAUUAGUUUGUUGGUGGGGUAAUGGCCUACCAAGACUGUGAUCAAUAGCUGAUUUGAGAGGAUGAUCAGCCACAUUGGGACUGAGACACGGCCCAAACUCCUACGGGAGGCAGCAGUGGGGAAUCUUGCACAAUGGAGGAAACUCUGAUGCAGCGAUGCCGCGUGAGUGAAGAAGGCCUUUGGGUUGUAAAGCUCUUUCGUCGGGGAAGAAAAUGACUGUACCCGAAUAAGAAGGUCCGGCUAACUUCGUGCCAGCAGCCGCGGUAAUACGAAGGGACCUAGCGUAGUUCGGAAUUACUGGGCUUAAAGAGUUCGUAGGUGGUUGAAAAAGUUAGUGGUGAAAUCCCAGAGCUUAACUCUGGAACUGCCAUUAAAACUUUUCAGCUAGAGUAUGAUAGAGGAAAGCAGAAUUUCUAGUGUAGAGGUGAAAUUCGUAGAUAUUAGAAAGAAUACCAAUUGCGAAGGCAGCUUUCUGGAUCAUUACUGACACUGAGGAACGAAAGCAUGGGUAGCGAAGAGGAUUAGAUACCCUCGUAGUCCAUGCCGUAAACGAUGUGUGUUAGACGUUGGAAAUUUAUUUUCAGUGUCGCAGGGAAACCGAUAAACACACCGCCUGGGGAGUACGACCGCAAGGUUAAAACUCAAAUGAAUUGACGGGGACCCGCACAAGUAGUGGAGCAUGUGGUUUAAUUCGAAGAUACGCGCAGAACCUUACCAACACUUGACAUGUUCGUCGCGACUCUAAGAGAUUAGAGUUUUCGGUUCGGCCGGACGAAACACAGGUGCUGCAUGGCUGUCGUCAGCUCGUGUCGUGAGAUGUUGGGUUAAGUCCCGCAACGAGCGCAACCCUCACUUUUAGUUGCCAUCAUUAAGUUGGGCACUCUGAAAGAACUGCCAGUGAUAAGCUGGAGGAAGGUGGGGAUGACGUCAAGUCCUCAUGGCCCUUACGUGUUGGGCUACACACGUGCUACAAUGGUAUCUACAACAGGAAGCUAAACUGCGAGGUUGAGCAAAUCCCUAAAAGAUACCUCAGUUCGGAUUGCACUCUGCAACUCGAGUGCAUGAAGCUGGAAUUACUAGUAAUCGUGGAUCAGCGUGCCACGGUGAAUGCGUUCCCGGGUCUUGUACACACCGCCCGUCACACCAUGGGAGUUGGUUCUACCUUAAGGCAAGGUUUUAAACCCUUGACCACGGUAUAGUCAGCGACUGGGGUGAAGUCGUAACAAGGUAACC